This 2161-nucleotide long non-coding RNA is filed under the name Olea europaea (common olive). Its description in RNAcentral is "long non-coding RNA (OEUR_LNC007978)". Lineage: Eukaryota; Viridiplantae; Streptophyta; Magnoliopsida; Lamiales; Oleaceae. The record is from RNAcentral.
UCUAGAGAUUUGUUUGGAGGUGGAUCUCGAUUAAUGUCGUUCUCUUCCUCACCGCCACUUGAACACAUGAAAGUAUCGUUCCGGCCUACAGAUGGCUGUGAGACUACCAAGAUGAACUUAAAAUUCGCUGAUGGCAAUAAUAAUCUUGGAAGCGAUGGAAAUAUUUUUCCUUCAUUUCAAUUGGUCCCAGGGAUGUCAACUACUCAGCAUAACGUUGGUUCGGACUCAGAUGACACAUUCUAUAGAUCAUCACCUUCUGUAUCAGAUGAUAGUCUUAGCCAUCGGUCUAAUUCAAAUUCUGAGCAAUGUGAGUCCGGAGAAUCUCCCAGUAGCAAGGAGCACGAUUUAUAUGACGUUUUACGCAGAAUCUCGUCGAUGGAAUCUACUUCAACAAUAAGGGAAAAUGGGAGGUCGAGACACGGAGAGAUCUAUGAGAACCCUUGUCGUCAACUUCCAUUUGUUAAAAGCGUUGUGGACAAACAUUCUCAAUCUUGUGGUUUGUUUGAUAUUCCAAAGUUUAAUAUCCAAAAUCACUCGCUCAGGGAAGAACUGCAAAACGAUUCGUCAACAAUGGAUCCUGUGGAGACACAAUUUUCACCUACCCCUCCACCUCUCCCUCCUGCACAAUGGCGGACUAUGAAGUCACGUCUGGAUGAUACAGAAAAUGGGCAUGCUGUGAUAUCUGGCGGCCUUAACUAUGCAUCUGGUCUUACACGUUCAACAUCUACAAUAUCUCAUCAACCUAAGCAGUUCACAGAUAGGACAAGAAGCAAUCCUGAAUCUCAGGAACCUGAACAAGAACCUUCUAACAAUACACAAGGGAAGUUAUGGACAAAUGGUGGAUUGCUAGGAUUAGAUCCAUUAAAACCUCCAGAUUUCAGUGUAUUAAAUGCCAUCCAUCAAGAUCCUGCAUCCAGCAACGAUGGAAGUAUCUGUACUUUCAGGGCUAGAGCUGCAAAGAAAUCUGAUGAAAUCGAGAACUCCAGAAAUAUGGGAAAUGAUUUCGAUAUGGAUAGCUCUAUAUCACAUCAAAAUUACCAGGAAGGUGGCACCUCAUUUGGGAAGACGUCUUGGAAAAUUUCGACUACCAAUUUAGAUGUCAAGCUUGAAAAGUCCAGUAAUUCACUUCAUCGAAAUUAUGUCGGUAGUACUGCGAACAAUGGAUCUACUGACUCUGGUGUAGGACCAUCUAGAAGUUCUCAGCCUGUCAGCUCAGAUAUUCGAUUUACCAGAGAUCAUAGGGAGAAUUGCAGAAGUUCUAGGAUGUUUGAACUGGGCAAUCUAUUGUUUACAAAUGAAUCUUAUAGAAAGCUAUUGGUUGGCAGAGAUGACCACUCUGGUUCUUCUGGCUACCUAAAUACAGGUGUUAUCGAACAGAACAAUUGUCAAAAUAUUGCAGAUCAAUCAUUCUCUGGAAGAUCUAGAGAUUUGUUUGGAGGUGGAUCUCGAUUAAUGUCGUUCUCUUCCUCACCGCCACUUGAACACAUGAAAGUAUCGUUCCGGCCUACAGAUGGCUGUGAGACUACCAAGAUGAACUUAAAAUUCGCUGAUGGCAAUAAUAAUCUUGGAAGCGAUGGAAAUAUUUUUCCUUCAUUUCAAUUGGUCCCAGGGAUGUCAACUACUCAGCAUAACGUUGGUUCGGACUCAGAUGACACAUUCUAUAGAUCAUCACCUUCUGUAUCAGAUGAUAGUCUUAGCCAUCGGUCUAAUUCAAAUUCUGAGCAAUGUGAGUCCGGAGAAUCUCCCAGUAGCAAGGAGCACGAUUUAUAUGACGUUUUACGCAGAAUCUCGUCGAUGGAAUCUACUUCAACAAUAAGGGAAAAUGGGAGGUCGAGACACGGAGAGAUCUAUGAGAACCCUUGUCGUCAACUUCCAUUUGUUAAAAGCGUUGUGGACAAACAUUCUCAAUCUUGUGGUUUGUUUGAUAUUCCAAAGUUUAAUAUCCAAAAUCACUCGCUCAGGGAAGAACUGCAAAACGAUUCGUCAACAAUGGAUCCUGUGGAGACACAAUUUUCACCUACCCCUCCACCUCUCCCUCCUGCACAAUGGCGGACUAUGAAGUCACGUCUGGAUGAUACAGAAAAUAGGCAUGCUGUGAUAUCUGGCGGCCUUAACUAUGCAUCUGGUCUUACACGUUCAACAUCUACAAUAUCUCAUCAAC